RNAcentral lists this unclassified non-coding RNA (361 nucleotides) under Hevea brasiliensis (rubber tree). Lineage: Eukaryota; Viridiplantae; Streptophyta; Magnoliopsida; Malpighiales; Euphorbiaceae. The record is from RNAcentral.
UACAGCUAAAGCUGUGUAGUUAUAACAAGCUAGAAAGGGCACAACUUUUGUACAAACAAGUCAAGUAACUCUUAACGGACCUUUACGUUCCAGAUUCUUCCACGAUGACUCGAGCUGCAGUAGGUGUAACUUCUCAACAAAUGCCUCUAGAACUUGAGCCUCUUCUUCUGGUGCAAAGACCAUGCAAAUGCUAAGCUCCUGGACCGCCUCCUCGUAUUCCCUGCUAUAGUACAACAUCAUGCCGUGGUCUCUCCUCAGAACCCAAUUGUGUGGCUGCAGAAUCAGCAAUCUUUGCGAAGCCAUAAUAGCCAGCCUAGAAAGUCGGUACCAUCCCAGACAUAUAGUCAUUACAGGCGAGAAG